UACGUAGGGCGCAAGCGUUGUCCGGAAUUAUUGGGCGUAAAGAGCUCGUAGGCGGCUUGUUGCGUCGGUUGUGAAAGCCCGGGGCUUAACCCCGGGUCUGCAGCCGAUACGGGCAGCUAGAAUUCGGUAGGGGAGACUGGAAUUCCUGGUGUAGCGGUGAAAUGCGCAGAUAUCAGGAGGAACACCGGUGGCGAAGGCGGGUCUCUGGGCCGAAAUUGACGCUGAGGAGCGAAAGCGUGGGGGAGCAAACAGG
Molecule: ribosomal RNA, 253 nt
Filed under: uncultured bacterium
Lineage: Bacteria
Description: partial 16S ribosomal RNA
Rfam family: Bacterial small subunit ribosomal RNA
Source: RNAcentral